GAUGAAGACGUAGCGAAAUGCGAUAAGUAGUGUGAAUUGCAGAAUUCAGUGAAUCAUCGAAUCUUUGAACGCACAUUGCGCCCCUUGGUAUUCCAUGGGGCAUGCCUGUUCGAGCGUCAUUUGUACCUUCAAGCUCUGCUUGGUGUUGGGUGUUUUGUCUCGCCUCUGCGUGUAGACUCGCCUUAAAACAAUUGGCAGCCGGCGUAUUGAUUUCGGAGCGCAGUACAUCUCGCGCUUUGCACUCAUAACGGCGACGUCCAAAAGUACAUUUUUACACUCUUGACCUCGGAUCAGGUAGGGAUACCCGCUGAACUUAAGCAUAUCAAUAGCGGAGGA
RNAcentral lists this unclassified non-coding RNA (336 nucleotides) under soil metagenome. Its description in RNAcentral is "partial contains 5.8S ribosomal RNA, internal transcribed spacer 2, and large subunit ribosomal RNA". The stretch from base 1 to 119 matches the Rfam family "5.8S ribosomal RNA", at positions 35 to 154 of the family's 154-position model. The record is from RNAcentral.